CCUUCCUAAAAUAGUAUAUAAGCAUGUGAGGAACUGCAUUGACUUGUUUGUUCAUCAAAAGUAUGAAAUUAGGAUAAAAGGGGGGGAAGUCGGGACAUGGAAUUUGCAGGCUUGACUGGUAACCACAAACAAAGAUUGUGAAAGAUUUUGCAGGACUGGCUGGAACUGAUAAACGCAGUGGAAACCCAUUGUUGCUGAAACUGAUAACCUCAGUGGAAGGAGACUCACCACCCCCAUUUGUGAAACCCAUUGUUGCUGGAACUGAUAACCACGGUGGAAGGAGACCCAUCACCCCCACUUAUGCAGGAUAAAAAGGGACUGAAGAGAAGGAAAGGUUGUCAGCUUUUGGCGGAACACAGGCUCCGCAGCUGCACCCAGCGCUGUUUGCUUGCUAUCGCUUGCUGUAAUUAAUAAAAUUAUUAAUUGAUCUUAAAAGGCUGAAUCAAAUUAUUCGCCUCAAUUUAUAACAAGCAUAGAUGGUCCAGAAUAAAUUUGGACUCUUUUGACCAUCUCACAGUCUCCUCGUCUCUCUCAUCAUCACCAAUAAUUGAUGUUCCAGGUGAGAAGAAGGAACAGCCUAUCUGGCUGCAAUCAGCGAGCCCCCAGAACUGGAAGUGCUGGUGUGAGAACCAAGAAUGAGCCUGAAACAAUCCAUCCAUGGAGAAAGAAGAGUGGCUGCAGCCAUCAACCUCACUCCUGCCCAGACAAAGGAGGGGAAGUCAUCCUUUCUCGCAGUCGUUAGCAGUUUAUAUUGCUGUACAAACUGUACAGGGCUCUAGGAUUGAGGAGGAGGGGGAGCCUUUUGAUCCAGAACUGAUAGAUUCAGAUUAUGAAACAGUUCUAUUCCCUCCUGACCCUCAUGAUAACUGGAUGCAAUUAAAGAAAAAGGCUCUUAAGGAGGGGGACUCCCAAACGUGCUUUGGGUGCUGGAAAUCUGGGCAUUUGAAAAAGGACUGUGUCAAAAAGGGGGAGGAGGCCAGGUCCAAAACUCCCAGUAUUUGCCCUCAGUGCCGUAAGGGAUUAUUAUUAUAAGGGCAUUAUGCUAAUCUAUGUCAGUCCAAGUAUGAUUUUGAAGGGCGUCCAAUAUGAGGAAGUAGGACCCAAAGCACAGAGGGACACCAUGCCAUGACACAAAUGCCCCAGCUGAUGCCUCAGAGAAGAACAUAGCAAGCCUCAGCCCAGCUGCCGUCCUAAGCAGCCUUCACCAGACCACAAGCAGCCCUAACUGGACCGUCACCGACCUACAACCCGCCACAUCGGAGAGUGGAGAACCGGACCUGACAACCUCCAAAACAGUAGUAUUAUGUCAAAAACGCCAAUCACUUGUUUUAAAACUUUUAUUAAGUUUAAUAGUAUAACAGUAAUAAAAUAGUUUAACAGUAAUAAAAAAUAGAGCAGUAAGAAUUUAGACAAUCAGAGUUAGGACCUUAAAGGACAAUAAAACAAAGAAUUAUGGACAUCCGAUGUUCUCGGGCAGUAAGCGACGAAAAGCAUGCUUUGUGAACCAAGAAUUAACCCUUAAAGGCAAUAGUCUGUUGCAUAUUCAUAUAUCUCAUACAUGAUGCAUAAAUUCUGUCGAAACAAAGAACUCUGAUCAGUGUCAGUGUCUUCCUCUUAAUCCUGUGGCAUCUUCAGGGCUGAGCGAGGCAGGAGGAAGUUAAUUUCUUCUGAUAAGGGAGCCAUAAAUUCUUUUUAUCUGGAAGAUUUAGGUGUCCUGUGGCUGCUAUCUUGAUGCAAGUACCUCACUCCUUUCUUCCCAUGUACAUAGUUGCUAUUUUAACUACAAAAGCUCCAUUGUAACUACAAAACUACAUUUACCAUAGUAUUAAAAUCUUAAUACAGCACUACUAAUCAAUAUAACAUAAUACAUACAGUAAAUAUAUGUGUAGAGACAUAUAAGCAUUUUUCACACAUUAUUUGAUUCAUCUGUUUGCCUCCCACAGGAAGCACCACCAGGUGCUUAUCAGACCACCAGGACAGUGUAGGCAUGCAUUGCUUUAAGGCAAAUCAUACACUUCAAUACCGGGGUUGUUUGUUCUCCCUGAGGCUAUUGACUGUG
This is a long non-coding RNA of Taeniopygia guttata (zebra finch), 2059 nucleotides long. Lineage: Eukaryota; Metazoa; Chordata; Aves; Passeriformes; Estrildidae. The record is from Ensembl.